This is an RNA transcript of Sesamum indicum (sesame), 1424 nucleotides long. It is a transcript of the gene named B3 domain-containing transcription repressor VAL2, with no coding region annotated. Lineage: Eukaryota; Viridiplantae; Streptophyta; Magnoliopsida; Lamiales; Pedaliaceae. The record is from RefSeq and is a predicted model, not a curated record.
GAAUUGAUGUAAUGAUUCGGAAUAUUUGUGUUGGUGUUGAAAGCUCUGACUUCAAUUUCAAUCUUUGUCUCAUUCUCCAACAGUUGUUGCUUUCUUGGAACAGUGUAAAACAGCACACGCUUCACACAAUCGGUUCGGUCGCUCUAUCCUUGUAGUUGUAGUUCUAGGGUUCUCUAUUUUUCAAUGGCUUCUUCUUCAAGGCUCUCCUGUUUCCACUGCCAGGACUCCAGCUCCAGCCCUGGCCAUUUCAGAAACGGGUGGCGCCUCCGCAGCGGCGAGUAUGCUCAGCUGUGCCCUCGCUGCGCUUGUGUGUAUGAGGAAGGCAGGUUCUGUGAAACCUUCCAUUCGAAUGAUGACGGUUGGAGGGAUUGCGAAUCUUGUGGGAAGUUAGUCCAUUGUGGAUGUAUAGUAUCUUUCAAUACUCAUUUGCUCUUGGAUUUUGGCGGGAUAAUCUGCAUGGAGUGCUCAAGGUUUAAUUUUCUAUUGGCACGAAACAGAUGUCUGUCUCUCGAACCUGAGAUAAGAGCUAAAGAACCUUAUCAGGAACGAACUGGGCAAGCCCUAUUAGAAGCCCAGUGCUGGCAUCGAGUGACUGAUUUGGACCUGCAACAAGUCUCUAGAAGCCCUAAAGCUACCGUCACACCUCUGUUUGAAAAGAUAUUGUCUGCUAGUGAUGCUGACCUCAAAUUAGCUCGCCUAAUCAUACCAAAAAGAUGUGCAGAGGCAUUUUUCCCUGAUAUUUCUGCCUUGCAUGGUCUGCGCAUCAAGAUACAGGAUACAGAAGGCAAUGAAUGGGAAUUCCACUACCGAUAUUGGCUCAAUGGUGGAAGUAGGAUAUAUGUUCUUGAGGGGCUCAGAGAUUAUAUGGUCUCAAAGAAAUGGCAGCCGGGUGAUACAGAUUGAUAACCAGCUAAACUUUCUUCAAAAAAGUGAACAAAUGUUCAUCAGGGCAUAACACCGCGUCAUGUUUUCAGAAAAUAUUUAAGAUAUGCAUAUUUUUUUCCAGUUACAUUUUAUCGAGUGGAUCCAGGGGGAAAGGUGGUAAUGGGAUUGAGAAAAACUUCUACUGGCCAUCAGCUUCCAAGGAUCUAAAGAAAAGGCAUACAGUGGAACGAGGACAACUGCAGCUGGAUGUAAAUAUGUGGUUCCAUCCGACACCAACCAAAGGUUAUGUGCAUACAUAUACUUACUGGCUACCAGAUUGUCGCCCAAUUUUGCUUCUAUUUUCUGUAUUUUGAAGUGUAUUAUACCUCCUGAUAUAUUGGAAUUUUAGUGUGGCGAAGAAUUCUUGUGGUGCGGUUUAGUUUCUCCAAGCCUCAGGUUUGCUAAAUUCACUUGUAAAUGUAUCCUGGAGCAUUGGAUUUCAUGACAUUGGCCUGUGGCAGGGUCUAUUAUAAAUAUAUGUUGCGUAUAGUGAUUUAUUA